GACGAACGCUGGCGGCGUGCUUAACACAUGCAAGUCGAACGGUAAGGCCCUUUCGGGGGUACACGAGUGGCGAACGGGUGAGUAACACGUGGGUGAUCUGCCCUGCACUUUGGGAUAAGCCUGGGAAACUGGGUCUAAUACCGGAUAGGACUACGCGAUGCAUGUCGUGUGGUGGAAAGCUUUUGCGGUGUGGGAUGGGCCCGCGGCCUAUCAGCUUGUUGGUGGGGUGAUGGCCUACCAAGGCGACGACGGGUAGCCGGCCUGAGAGGGUGUCCGGCCACACUGGGACUGAGAUACGGCCCAGACUCCUACGGGAGGCAGCAGUGGGGAAUAUUGCACAAUGGGCGCAAGCCUGAUGCAGCGACGCCGCGUGGGGAUGACGGCCUUCGGGUUGUAAACCCCUUUCAGCACAGACGAAGCGUAAGUGACGGUAUGUGCAGAAGAAGCACCGGCCAACUACGUG
Molecule: ribosomal RNA, 463 nt
Filed under: uncultured bacterium
Lineage: Bacteria
Description: partial 16S ribosomal RNA
Rfam family: Bacterial small subunit ribosomal RNA
Source: RNAcentral